CACUCCACCCCUGUUUCAGCUAUUUCUCAAUUUGGUCCAGUGUUCAAGCCCAACCUUUGGAGUCGAGUCCCACCUCCUACCUCAGAACCACCACCAUAAUCAGGAUUUAGAAUGCAUCACCCCAAAAUGUUUCUUCAUGUCCCUGGCCCCUUGCUUUCAAUCUCCUACAGCUCCUAGAUGUGGAAUGUAUGCCCUGCAGGCUGGUCUCUUUCCUGAGAGCUGAGAUGUCCUGUCCUAAGAGCCUGGCACGUGUCGGACAACUGUGGAGGGAACUGAUGAGUGAAAGAGAGAAUGGAGAAAGGAAUGAAUCAGCAUAAGCCCCACAGGGACAAAGACUGUAACUGGAGCACCCUUUCAUCCCCACUGCUGGACACAGGGUGGGGAACACUAAAUGUGCGCUACGCAUUGUUUAUCGAAACAGGCUCUACAUCAAAAUAAAAAACAAA
RNAcentral lists this long non-coding RNA (446 nucleotides) under Homo sapiens (human). Its description in RNAcentral is "HSALNT0397274". The record is from RNAcentral. Lineage: Eukaryota; Metazoa; Chordata; Mammalia; Primates; Hominidae.